RNAcentral lists this long non-coding RNA (2213 nucleotides) under Homo sapiens (human). RNAcentral describes it as "non-protein coding lnc-SERHL2-9:1". The record is from RNAcentral. Lineage: Eukaryota; Metazoa; Chordata; Mammalia; Primates; Hominidae.
GCCGGGGAUGGAGACUGGGAACUGGGGAUGCGGCCCUCUGCGCUCCGAGCUCUCCCGCCGCUGUGCUGCCCCGCGCGGGACGGUGGCCUCUCUGGGCCUCGUUCGCCGCCAUAAAGGAAGCAAGAUGGCGCCCCCCGGAUGGGAGCGAGAAUAAGAGGCGGAAUCUUCCCCCGGCCUCCGAGACUGCAGGGGCCGGUCCUGCCUGGCCUGGCCUGGGCCUGUGCCUGCAGCUGCUCAGCGCGGCCCUUCCCCGGGCCUUUGAAUUUGUAGUUCCCUGGGCAGCACUGUUCCCAGCUGCCUCGGGCCGGGUUAAAUGCUGCGGUCUCAGCACGGCCCGCCCGGAGCCUCCUCGCCGGCGGCGCCUCCGCUCCCCACGCCAUUGUCCCACUGUGGAGUGAUCUUUGUCCCACUUAGCUGAAGGCCUCCUGCGUGUUUCCCCCACUCCCACCCCAUCCCAGUGGACUGUGCGCUCCCGGAGGGCAAGGCCCUAUCUGGUUUGAAGUCCCGUACAUCCCCAGAGCCUAGCCACACAGAGCCUAGCAUAUAGUAGGUGCUCAAUAAAUACCUUUUUUUUUUUUUUUUUUUUUGGUAAAGCAGGGUCUCACUCUUGCCCAGACUGGAAUGCAGGAGCCUGAUCACAGCUCACUUUAGCCUCAACCUCCCAGGCUCAAGUGUUCCUCCUGCCUCAACCUCCUGAGUAGCUGGGCACAUGCCACCACGUCCGGCUAAUUGUUUUUUUUUUUGAGACGCAGUUUCGCUCUUGUUGCCCAGGCUGGUAUGCAUUGACGCGAUCUCGGCUCACCGCAAACUCCGCCUCCAGGGUUCAACAGAUCCUCCUGCCUCAGCCUCCCGAAAUUACAGGCAUGUGCCACCACAUCUGGCUAACCAGCUAAUCUUUUUUUUUUUUUUUUUUUUUUUUUUUUUGAGACAGAGUCUCGCCCUGUCCCCCAGGCUGGAAUGCAGUGGCGCCAUUUCGGCUCAAUGCAAGCUCCGCCUCCAGGGUUCACGCCAUUCUCAGCCUCCCGAGUAGCUGGCACUACAGGCACCCCACCGCGCCCGGCUAAUUUUUUGUAUUUUCAGUAGGGACGGGGUUUCACCGUGUUAGCGAGGAUGGUCUCGAUCUCCUGACCUCGUGAUCCGCCCGCCUCGGCCUCCCAAAGUGCUGGGAUUACAGGCGUGAGCCACCGCGCCCGGCCUAAUUUUGUAUUUUUAGUAGAGACGGUGUUUCAACAUGUUGGUGAGGCUGGUCUCGAACUUCCGACCUCAGGUGAUCCACCUGCCUCGGCUUCCCAAAGUGCCGGGAUUACAGGUGGGAACUACCGCGCCCGGCCAUUUUUGCAUUUUUUUGUAGAGACGGGUUUCACUAUGUUGCCCAGGCUGGUCCGGAACUCCUGGGUUCAAGCCAUCCUCCCACCUUGGCCUCCCAAAGUGCUGGGAUUAUAAGCGUGAGCCACGAUGAGCAGCCUAAAUACUUGUUGAAUGGAUGAAUUUGACAGACAGUGGGCACCUUCUCUGUGUAGGCUCAUGCUGGGCCUUAGCGUCAUUCUCUUGCCUUGCUCUCCUGGUAGGGUCUUGGACCCAGAUGUGAGCUCCUGGUGCUCUGAGGGGAUGGGGUGGGCUGUGUGUUCAGGCAACGUGGCACAGACCAGGCAGAGAAAGGGAGAAGCGCCUUGCUGGCAGGGCCUGGAGGUGGAGACAGGUGAACAGAGGCCUGAUGGGCAAGGUUAGAGGGGCUGAUACAGCCGAGCUGGGGUGUGAUGUGACGUUGGGGAGGCAAUGUGGAGCCCCGGGUGGAAAGAACUGGAAUGUCAAGGAGAAUGGGGAGCCCUGCAGGAUCUAGGUAGCUGAGGGAGUGACUCACUGGGUUUAUUUACCCAGAGAAGAGAUCUCGCUCUGAUGCCCAGGCUGGAGUGUAGUGAUGCAGUCACAGCUCACUGCAGCUCAAGCCAUCCUCCCACCACAGCCUCCCGGAGCACUGGGAUUACAGGCAUGAGCCACCAUGCCCGUCUGCCUACCCACCCACCUGACCUACUGUUUUUUUUGUUUGUUUGGUUGGUUGGUUGGUUUUUCUUUUUUGAGACGGAGUCUUGCUCUGUUGCCAGGCUCACUGCAAUCGCGGCUCACUGCAACCUCCGGGGUUCAAGCGAUUCUCCUGCCUCAGCUUCCCUAGUGGCUGGGACUACAGGUGCGUGCCACCAUGCCCAGCUAAUUAU